AUUGAACGCUGGCGGCAGGCCUAACACAUGCAAGUCGAACGGCAGCACAGAAGAGCUUGCUCUUUGGGUGGCGAGUGGCGGACGGGUGAGUAAUGUCUGGGAAACUGCCCGAUGGAGGGGGAUAACUACUGGAAACGGUAGCUAAUACCGCAUAACGUCGCAAGACCAAAGUGGGGGACCUUCGGGCCUCACACCAUCGGAUGUGCCCAGAUGGGAUUAGCUAGUAGGUGGGGUAAUGGCUCACCUAGGCGACGAUCCCUAGCUGGUCUGAGAGGAUGACCAGCCACACUGGAACUGAGACACGGUCCAGACUCCUACGGGAGGCAGCAGUGGGGAAUAUUGCACAAUGGGCGCAAGCCUGAUGCGGCCAUGCCGCGUGUAUGAAGAAGGCCUUCGGGUUGUAAAGUACUUUCAGCGGGGAGGAAGGCGGUGAGGUUAAUAACCUCGCAGAUUGACGUUACCCGCAGAAGAAGCACCGGCUAACUCCGUGCCAGCCGCCGCGGUAA
RNAcentral lists this ribosomal RNA (506 nucleotides) under uncultured bacterium. RNAcentral's name for it is "partial 16S ribosomal RNA". It matches the Rfam family "Bacterial small subunit ribosomal RNA", at positions 29 to 523 of the family's 1533-position model. The record is from RNAcentral.